UCUGUCGGCCACCGUCGAACCCUUUCAUGCUCCCGUUGGUGCGGACGGGAUGUUUGCCGGGGAAGACAGAAGGACGGUCCUUCCAGGUGUCCAGUGUGUUGAGCUCCACGUGCUAGGACUGAGGUAUUAACCGCAAGCUCUUGAAGACCCAACACAGCUUCGUAGAUAGCUGGCGGAGCUUCUACGUUAUGUAGAAAAGAACGGUUAGUUGGUUGUUGAAUGGCUUUCCUUGGAUGGUGCUUUCAAAGGGCUUCGUCUGCACUUCAGUCAGUAGGGGGCGCACUGAUGCUGGGAAUGCCAACAGUAACCAAGAGCAGCACUGGUCUUCCGGUCCCUCAACUCGGGUGGCUAUCCAUCUCCCCGCUCGGUAAUCCCUGCUGUUUCCAGCUUUCAACACCAAGCACACCACCCUGCUGUCGGGAGCGGCACUUAAAACGGAAGAGACCAUGCGUGUCUUGACAAACAUGAUCAGCUACGUGCUGUGGAACAUGAGGCUCAGAUUUUCAUCUAGAGCCGGGAAUUGUGGAAUGGCUGGAAAGACACUCUGGUGAUUGACUGGUGACCAGCUCUGCAGACAAUUUUAUUUGAGGCUCCACGAGAGGAAAGGAAAUGUAAAUCAUUACAAAAGAGACAUUUCUCUUCCUGAAUAUUUACCCUGUUAUUACAUGUACUUACUCAUGCAUGCAUGCAUGUGUGU
Molecule: long non-coding RNA, 697 nt
Organism: Mesocricetus auratus (golden hamster)
Lineage: Eukaryota; Metazoa; Chordata; Mammalia; Rodentia; Cricetidae
Exons: 3
Source: RefSeq, a predicted model, not a curated record